Molecule: ribosomal RNA, 253 nt
Filed under: uncultured bacterium
Lineage: Bacteria
Description: partial 16S ribosomal RNA
Rfam family: Bacterial small subunit ribosomal RNA
Source: RNAcentral
GACGUGGGGGGCCAGCGUUGCUCGGAAUUACUGGGUGUAAAGGGUUCGUAGGCGGUGUAGCAAGUCGGGAGUGAAAUCUCUGGGCUCAACCCAGAGACUGCUUCCGAAACUGCUGUGCUUGAGUGUGGGAGAGGCGCGUGGAAUUGCAGGUGUAGCGGUGAAAUGCGUAGAUAUCUGCAGGAACACCCGUGGCGAAGGCGGCUCUCUGGCUCGCCACUGACGCUGAGGCGCGAAAGCUAGGGGAGCAAACAGG